UACGUAGGGUCCGAGCGUUGUCCGGAAUUAUUGGGCGUAAAGAGCUCGUAGGCGGUUUGUCGCGUCUGCUGUGAAAUCCCGAGGCUCAACCUCGGGUCUGCAGUGGGUACGGGCAGACUGGAGUGCGGUAGGGGAGAAUGGAAUUCCUGGUGUAGCGGUGGAAUGCGCAGAUAUCAGGAGGAACACCGAUGGCGAAGGCGGGUCUCUGGGCAGUAACUGACGCUGAGGAGCGAAAGCGUGGGGAGCGAACAGG
This 253-nucleotide ribosomal RNA is filed under the name uncultured bacterium. Its description in RNAcentral is "partial 16S ribosomal RNA". It matches the Rfam family "Bacterial small subunit ribosomal RNA", at positions 524 to 776 of the family's 1533-position model. The record is from RNAcentral.